UUUUUUUUUUUUUAGAGAGAGAGAGAGAGUGCAUGAGAGGGGUGGGGAAUGGGGAAGAUCAGAGGGAGAGGGAGAAGUAGACUCCCCACUGAGCAUGGAGCCCAACACAGAGCUUGAUCCCAGAACUCCCAUAUCAUGACUUGAGCAGAAUGCAGACACUUAACCAAAUGAAUCACCCAGGCGCUCCAAGAUAGAAUCUUAAGUAGGCUCCACAACAGCAUGGAGCCCAUUGUGGAGCUUGAUCUCAUGACCCUGAGAGCAUGACCGGAGCUGAAAUCAAGUCAGAUGCUUAACCAACUGAGCACCCUGCAGAUGACUUUUUUUUUUUUAAGAUUUUACUUAUUUGAGAGGGGAGGAGGGGCAGGGAGGGAGGGAGAGGGACAAGCAGACUCUAUGCAGAGCGUGGACCCCAGAGCAGGGCUCAAUCCCAGGACUGCAAGAUCAUGACCUGAGCCAAAAUCAAGAGUUGGCCACUCAACCACCUGAGACACCCAGGCACCCUGCAAAUGACUUUUUAAAAGAAUAAUUGAUCCUCAAAACUUCAUCACAUCUAAGAGUGAAACAAUUAUCAUUAACUAGUUCCAUUAAGGGCACAAUCUGCUUGUAACUCAACUCUUAGCUUAUCCUACUUUUCCAAACACUUGAAAAUAAAUGGUCUGAAAAUCAUUACAUAAAAUGACCACAAAAAAUAUAUAUAGUGUCCCAGUAAAAGUGAGAAAAUCAAAGAAACUCAACCCAUGGUAUUACUAUAAAAAUAUAGGCAUUGAUUUAAAAUAAACUCUAAAAGGUUGAUUUUUAAAGUUGCUGAUGACAGCUAAAAACACAGCUUUUAAAGCAAAUCUCAGAAAAUAUAUAAUUUGGGCUGGGUGUGUUUUUCUCACCACUCCCUCCCCACCAACUCAGUAUUACUGAUUAUUCAAAAAAUGGAAAGACAACCUCCAUAAACAUCCUUGGAAUGCUGCAAGUAUAAUGAAGUAAUUUAGGUAACUAAAAAAAAAAAAAAAAAAAUGGAUGAAGACAUAUUACAGGAAACUAAAAUAAAUAAGAGUACAAAAAAAAUUAGAGUCCACUUAAUGACAUUGGAGGGCCAUUAACUUUCAGAUUAAAAUGAAAUACUGAAAGAUCAUUGCUUUUGUAGUCCUGUCUUCAUCUAACAGCCUAUAAGACUUCUUUCAAUAUUUACUUAAACAUGUGAUACACAUAGAAAACGAAAAGCUAAAAUUAACAAAACACCAUACCUGACUAACUGUUGAGCUUAGUUUUUAAUGUCCCCUUACAAGGGAGACUUUUUUACGAAUAUAUAUUCUUAGAAUUUAGAGUACAGGACAAGGCCUACAGUUUCAACAAUAUCUGUGGGAUUAAAAAAAGGUGAAAGUAAACAAAAUUUUAAAGGCUGGUAGAUUCCCUAGAGAAAAGAUAUUUGUAAACUCAUUAUGGGAACAGUAUUGUGGGAACAGUAAUCUUACUAUAUAGAUCUAAGAGAAGUCAAAGGGAAAAAGAUCUUACUCCUUUAUGAGAUUUUGUUUUCAAACCUUUUUCAUGUCUCUUCUGAACCCUGACUUCCACUUCUUGACCUUGUCUGUAUCUCACUUGGGAUUGCACUCUCAUUGCACUCAUAAAUCUCCUCCAGUAAUUUAUAGCAAUUGAGGAAAUGCAUAUGAAUGUGUUUUACAAUUAUAUAUACAUAUUCUUUCCUUAAACUAUAACUUCUGAUUCUCAAGAGCUGCAACAUGGUAUAUAGUAGAAAGAAUAUUGAAGUCAAUCAGAAAAUCACUGUUGAGACCCAGGUCUGCCACUAUUUUUGUGAUCAUGGGCAAGUAACUUUUCAAAAGAAAAAGAACUAAAAUAGGGAUGCCUAGGUGGCUCAGUGGUUGAGGAUCUGCCUCUGGCUCAGGGCGUGAUCCCAGGUCCCGCAAAUGAGUCCCCUUUUCAGGCUCCCUACGAGGACCCUGCUUCUCCCUCUAUGUCUCUGCCUCUCUAUGUCUCUCAUGAAUAAAUAAAAUUUUUAGAAAAAAAAAAAAAAAACGAGAAU
This 2032-nucleotide long non-coding RNA is filed under the name Canis lupus familiaris (dog). Its description in RNAcentral is "lncRNA (ENSCAFG00845019967.1)". Lineage: Eukaryota; Metazoa; Chordata; Mammalia; Carnivora; Canidae. The record is from RNAcentral.